UUUCUCCCCUUUCUUCAGUGGCUAUGAAGGAUAUGAUAAGUUAUACUUUAAACAAAACUAAUGGUUUGACAAUCAGAUCACUUUAAAUAUACUUUUAUUUUUGUGCCAAUUAUGAUCUAAUUAUUUAAAUUAAAAAGAAAGAAUGCUUCUGUUACCACUGAACUGUCUGUCCUUCCUGUUCUCUAAAACUAAGAAUUUAACAAAUUAUUAAAACAACAAGCAGAAGUCUUAAAGUAAAGGAGACACCAACUUUAUCCUCCCCUUAAAUAAAGUCUAUGAUUGUUAGGCCAGAAUACUGCCGGAGGAGCACUGGAGGAAAAACUAAUAACCAUAAAGUAACUGAAAUGUCAUGUAAAUAACUGCCGCGAACAACUACCAGAAAUAUGCACUCUCAAAACAAUCACCUUGGAGGAAAUUAACUACUGAAACAAACAGCAACACUGCUGGAAUUUCUCUCUUAAAACUGCUUCCAAAAAUGCUUUUGGGAUCCUUAUUUUAAAAGAUCCUUAUUUAAAAUCCUUAUUAUCUUAUUUUGGGAUGCUUG
Molecule: long non-coding RNA, 544 nt
Filed under: Bos taurus (domestic cattle)
Lineage: Eukaryota; Metazoa; Chordata; Mammalia; Artiodactyla; Bovidae
Description: long non-coding RNA NONBTAT001365
Source: RNAcentral